AGACAGCCCUGAGAUCACCUAAAAAGCUGCUACCAAGACAGCCACGAAGAUCCUACCAAAAUGAAGCGCUUCCUCUUCCUCCUACUCACCAUCAGCCUCCUGGUUAUGGUACAGAGAGAAGCCUGGAUGUUCAGGAAUGCAAAGAAGACAGGACUCUCCCAUUUCAGAAACAACUGGAGUCUCAAAAGCGACUGCUAUUCCAGGAGGCAGCUUUGGUAGCAUCCCAGGUGCCCAGAGGGGAGUCAGUACAGCAGACCGGAGCCAUCAAGUUCUUGAUCAAGAACAGCUUGAUCACCAUCAAAACCAGCUUAAUCUCCAUCAAGAACAGUUCUAGUUGCAGCUCCAUCAAGCAUUAAGGACAGCUCGAUCACCAUCUGGCCACUUCCCCACCCCACAUCCAGCCACCCACGCUUUGCCAAGUGCUUUCUCACUCAGCCCUGGCUCAUGUGACCUUCACAACUGUGAUGAACUUCUCCCCACUCAGAAGAUGAAACUGAGGCUCAGGGAAGCUAAGCCCUUUGCCAGGCUAGGAAGGUCAAGGGCCAGGGCUCCCCUGUCUCCCUCUAUGCCAGAAGGGCUGG
This 581-nucleotide small RNA is filed under the name Pan troglodytes (chimpanzee). RNAcentral's name for it is "processed transcript". The record is from RNAcentral. Lineage: Eukaryota; Metazoa; Chordata; Mammalia; Primates; Hominidae.